Lutra lutra (Eurasian river otter) is the source of this 1412-nucleotide RNA transcript. It is a transcript of the gene named inorganic pyrophosphatase 2, with no coding region annotated. NCBI's taxonomy places the organism in Eukaryota, Metazoa, Chordata, Mammalia, Carnivora, Mustelidae. The transcript is spliced from 13 exons. The record is from RefSeq and is a predicted model, not a curated record.
CCAGGAUCCCCCAGCGCCGCCCUGCGCGGAGCCCGACGGCAGUCAACGCCAUGCGCGCGCUGCUGCCGCUCCUGCGCACCGGCUGGGGCUGGCGCGCGGGAGCCCCCGCCGCCGCCCGCUUGCCCCGGGGAAAGAGUGCAGGGCCUGGACCGCACGGCGCCAUGGCCCAGGCCUUCUACCGCACGGAGGAGCGCGGCCAGCUCUACUCCCCCGAUUACCGCCUCUUCUUCAAGAAUGUAGCUGGUCACUACAUUUCCCCCUUUCAUGAUAUUCCUCUCAAGGUGGACUCAACGGAGGAAAAUGGCAUUCCUACAAAGAGAGCACGAAAUGAUGAAUAUGAGAAUUUGUUUAAUAUGGUUGUAGAAGUACCUCGGUGGACAAAUGCUAAAAUGGAGAUUGCCACAAAGGAGCCAUUGAAUCCCAUUAAACAAGAUACAAAGAAUGGCAAGCUACGCUAUGUGGCAAAUAUAUUUCCUCACAAGGGUUAUAUCUGGAAUUAUGGUGCCCUCCCACAGACUUGGGAAGAUCCCCAUCAAAAAGAUAAGAGUACAGACUGCUGUGGAGAUAAUGAUCCUAUUGAUGUUUGUGAAAUAGGCUCAAAGGUUCUUUCUUGUGGAGAGGUUAUUCAUGUGAAGAUCCUUGGAAUUUUGGCUCUUAUUGAUCAGGGUGAAACAGAUUGGAAAAUAAUUGCUAUCAAUGUGAAUGAUCCCGAAGCCUCAAAGUUUCAUGAUAUUGAUGAUGUUAAGAAAUACAAACCAGGUUACUUGGAAGCUACACUUAAUUGGUUUAGAUUUUAUAAGGUGCCGGAAGGAAAACCUGAAAACCAGUUUGCUUUUAAUGGAGAAUUCAGAAACAAGGCUUUUGCUCUUGAAGUUAUUAAAUGUACUCAUGAAUGUUGGAGAACAUUGCUUAUGAAGAGGUGUGACAGAGGGGCUAUAAGUUGCACAAAUGUGCAGGUAUGUGACAGCCCUUUCCAUUGCACUCAAGAGGAAGCAAGAUCAAUAGUUGAACUGUUGGGCUGUCUUGCAGCUUUCCUUCUAGCUAAGAUGAUAUCCUUCGAUUUUUAUAUAUCCUAGUGAUAAGGCUGCCCGGAGGCAACUGAAGUUUUUAGGAAAUUAAUGCUUGAUUUGGAGACCACUAAAUAAGAAAAUUCAUAUUCAGAUAACCAGGUGUCAUCAUCACCAGAUAAGGGAAGUAAAGAAGAAGAGCAAGUGUGGCACUUCCUUGGCAAGUGAUUUGAACAUUUGAAGUUCUGCCAUCGAGACUCCAAUCUCCAAGGCCUCCACAACUCCCUCUCCCCAAGUUCUAGCAACAGGCAGAUCUAUGAGAAUUUAUUGACUUCCUAUUGAAACCUUUUUCCCCCAGCCUUAUUCGAGAUAUACAAUAUGUAAAUAAAGACCAAUAUUUUUAAA